CGGCUUUCACGUUCUGCAAUUGCAUUCACAUGGGUCAUUUACAAAAUUAAGAUCCAAAAAGUAAGGAAAAAGGAAAUUCCAUAUCUUGUACAGAGGCAAGGGAGAGAGAGAGAGAGAGAGAGGGGGAAGGCUAUUAUUUUAUUUCUUAAAUGGAAAGAAUGUUAUUCUUUAUCGUUGAUUACCGAUUCGUUUAUUUCCUAUUUUGGUUCAAUUUGUAUAUGAUAGUGUAAAUAAAUGUUUAUUAUCUCAAAAUAUACCACGGAUUAAGUUGUUCCGAAUUGCUUUCACAGUAAAAGUGUCUAUUCUCCCACAUUGUGAUGAAAUUCCUACUGAUUUAAAAUGAACUUGGAAAUUCAUGCACUGAAUGGAACCAAUUGCUGUGCUAUUUAAAGGAAAUUCUAUCAUUUCUGUAAUCAACUUCUAUAAAACUUUGCAAAAUUAAUUCAACGUAUGUGAUGCAAUAAUAUUAAAAAGGGUUAGUUUGCAACCAUGGGAACAAGUAAUUUUUUUACGACUAAAAGCAACACACACAUACCUGCUGAGUUUUUGAGCUACAUUCUAUGUAAUAUGCGGCCCCUAUCUGUUUCCGCAGCUCCUCACCCUAGGAAAAAAACAAUGAGAAAACCAGUUGUGUAAAUAAAGUAAGCAAAUCCAACUAUGCUAGAGAAAAUAACAAACUUCUGAGAAUAGAAAUCACACUUGUGCAGUAGUCACAGGCACCAAUCCUGGAUGGUCUGACAAAUAGUGCUUAUCCUCUCGGAGAUCUGUUUCUUGAAAGAAAGAGGAAAUGAGAGUACUGUGUUCCCAUAUCAAACCUAAGACUAACCAUAUCUUAUUGGGUCAAUUUUUAAGCAUGAGAGCAAAUAACUAAUAGGAGACAAUUUCAAACUUGAGAGGAAAAACUAAUGGAGAUAAUUUCUGGUUUGGAUAUCCUGCACUGACAGGAUUUGGGCUUUUAACAUAGUAAGAAGAACAUGCACUAAAGUAAAGGAUUUGCUUGAUGGUGCUUGACCUUUCCCAAACCUUUUUGUUUUUCAUUUUCUUCUUUUCAACCUUAACAUUCAGAUUAUAUAUAAUAGGUUCAUUUUAGAAAGGAAAUGGUGACAGUUUGGAUUUGAGGCAUUCAAACCAGAGUUCAUUCUUCUAAACAGAUUCAAAAAGUUUCGAAACUAGUAUGCAUUAACCUACUCAAGGAACUGGUUGCAAGUAUUAGCAUCAAACCUAUUAUUUGAGAAAACAAAUUCAUAGGAAAAAGAUUGGUUUAUUGGCACUGCCAUGAAAACUUAUAUUGGUUAAAGCUUCUUUGCUCACCUAAUUUCGUUCCGACAAGUACCACAGGGACUCCAGGUGAGAAGUGCUGAAGUUCAGGGAUCCACUAACAAAGAGAAUGAUUUUAAACACCAUCAAUAAGCAUAUUUACAAAGAGCAAAACAUAAAAUAAAACAUACUAAAAACAUGAAUUUUACAAGAAAAAACUCACCUUCUUCAGUACAUUCUCAUAGCUAGCACGACUAACUAAUGAGAAAGCUAAGACGAAGACAUCUGCUCCCCUAUAGCUCAAUGGCCUUAACCGAUUGUAAUCCUCUUGUCCUGUGAAACAAACAAAAAAGGGGACAUAAAAUCAAAACAGCAAAACGUUUUCCAACUUAUCAUAAGCCAAACAUGAUAAUAUGGAAACUUUUAAGGCAUAGUUAGUUAUAGCUUUUAAUUCAUAUAAGAUUACUAGAAUAUUUAGUCAUAGAAGGUAAGCAUACUGUACCAGCUGUAUCCCAGAGGCCUAAGUUUACAGUGGUGGCUUCAACUACUACAUUAGCACUGAAGUUAUCGAACACAGUGGGUAUAUAAUCCUACAAAAACAGAUUAAGUCAACGAUAUGGGAUUGAACAAGUCAACAACAUGAAUAUAAGAACAGCAAUUGGCAAUGAAAACGAGUUUCCCUGUUUAUGCUUUAUUAAAAGAAGAAGAAGCAAAAGAAACACUAUAGUUUAAACAAAAUCAGAUGAAGCUAAGGUGAUUUAAGGUACUGCAGGGAACAAAUGAUAUAACCCAAAAACUCAUGAAAGGAACCCAUUUGGGUGGAGAGAAAGAGAGAGAAAAAAGAGUAGUAAAAUCUUGGAAAACACGAAAAAGCUGCAAAAACCCAGAUGCGUACCAGUAAAAUAAAAUACAAUAAAGCAAAAAAAAAAAGAAGUCAAAACAGAGAGACCCA
This is a long non-coding RNA of Cannabis sativa, 2209 nucleotides long. RefSeq lists it as uncharacterized. Lineage: Eukaryota; Viridiplantae; Streptophyta; Magnoliopsida; Rosales; Cannabaceae. The transcript has 2 exons. The record is from RefSeq and is a predicted model, not a curated record.